UACGGGGGGAGCAAGCGUUGUUCGGAUUUACUGGGCGUAAAGGGCGCGUAGGCGGCCACCGCAAGUCGACUGUGAAAUCUCCGGGCUUAACCCGGAAAGGUCAGCCGAUACUGCGGGGCUAGAGUGCAGAAGGGGCAACUGGAAUUCUCGGUGUAGCGGUGAAAUGCGUAGAUAUCGAGAGGAACACCUGCGGCGAAGGCGGGUUGCUGGGCUGACACUGACGCUGAGGCGCGAAAGCUAGGGGAGCGAAACGGG
Molecule: ribosomal RNA, 255 nt
Filed under: uncultured bacterium
Lineage: Bacteria
Description: partial 16S ribosomal RNA
Rfam family: Bacterial small subunit ribosomal RNA
Source: RNAcentral